Molecule: ribosomal RNA, 253 nt
Filed under: uncultured bacterium
Lineage: Bacteria
Description: partial 16S ribosomal RNA
Rfam family: Bacterial small subunit ribosomal RNA
Source: RNAcentral
UACAGAGGGUGCAAGCGUUGUUCGGAAUUACUGGGCGUAAAGCGCGUGUAGGCGGCCUUGUUAGUUGGAUGUGAAAGCCCUCGGCUCAACCGAGGAAGUGCAUCCAAAACUGCAAAGCUUGAGUGUCGGAGGGGGUGGCGGAAUUCCUGGUGUAGAGGUGAAAUUCGUAGAUAUCAGGAGGAACACCUGUGGCGAAGGCGGCCACCUGGACGACAACUGACGCUGAGACGCGAAAGCGUGGGUAGCAAACAGG